GACGAACGCUGGCGGCGUGCUUAACACAUGCAAGUCGAACGGAAAGGCCCUGCUUUUGUGGGGUGCUCGAGUGGCGAACGGGUGAGUAACACGUGAGUAACCUGCCCUUGACUUUGGGAUAACUUCAGGAAACUGGGGCUAAUACCGGAUAGGAGCUCCUGCUGCAUGGUGGGGGUUGGAAAGUUUCGGCGGUUGGGGAUGGACUCGCGGCUUAUCAGCUUGUUGGUGGGGUAGUGGCUUACCAAGGCUUUGACGGGUAGCCGGCCUGAGAGGGUGACCGGCCACAUUGGGACUGAGAUACGGCCCAGAGUCCUACGGGGGGCAGCAGUGGGGAAUAUUGCACAAUGGGCGGAAGCCUGAUGCAGCAGCGCCGCGUGCGUGAUGACGGCCUUCGGGUUGUAAACCGCUUUCGCCUGUGACGAAGCGUGAGUGACGGUAAUGGGUAAAGAAGCACCGGCUAACUACGUG
This 468-nucleotide ribosomal RNA is filed under the name uncultured bacterium. RNAcentral's name for it is "partial 16S ribosomal RNA". It matches the Rfam family "Bacterial small subunit ribosomal RNA", at positions 28 to 507 of the family's 1533-position model. The record is from RNAcentral.